Molecule: ribosomal RNA, 1370 nt
Filed under: uncultured bacterium
Lineage: Bacteria
Description: 16S ribosomal RNA
Rfam family: Bacterial small subunit ribosomal RNA
Source: RNAcentral
AGAGUUUGAUCCUGGCUCAGGACGAACGCUGGCGGCGCGCCUAACACAUGCAAGUCGAACGAGCGAGAGAGAGCUUGCUUUCUCGAGCGAGUGGCGAACGGGUGAGUAACGCGUGAGGAACCUGCCUCAAAGAGGGGGACAACAGUUGGAAACGACUGCUAAUACCGCAUAAGCCCACAGCUCGGCAUCGAGCAGAGGGAAAAGGAGCAAUCCGCUUUGAGAUGGCCUCGCGUCCGAUUAGCUAGUUGGUGAGGUAAUGGCCCACCAAGGCGACGAUCGGUAGCCGGACUGAGAGGUUGAACGGCCACAUUGGGACUGAGACACGGCCCAGACUCCUACGGGAGGCAGCAGUGGGGAAUAUUGCACAAUGGGGGAAACCCUGAUGCAGCGACGCCGCGUGGAGGAAGAAGGUCUUCGGAUUGUAAACUCCUGUUGUUGAGGAAGAUAAUGACGGUACUCAACAAGGAAGUGACGGCUAACUACGUGCCAGCAGCCGCGGUAAAACGUAGAUCACAAGCGUUGUCCGGAAUUACUGGGUGUAAAGGGAGCGCAGGCGGGAAGACAAGUUGGAAGUGAAAUCUAUGGGCUCAACCCAUAAACUGCUUUCAAAACUGUUUUUCUUGAGUAGUGCAGAGGUAGGCGGAAUUCCCGGUGUAGCGGUGGAAUGCGUAGAUAUCGGGAGGAACACCAGUGGCGAAGGCGGCCUACUGGGCACCAACUGACGCUGAGGCUCGAAAGUGUGGGUAGCAAACAGGAUUAGAUACCCUGGUAGUCCACACCGUAAACGAUGAUUACUAGGUGUUGGAGGAUUGACCCCUUCAGUGCCGCAGUUAACACAAUAAGUAAUCCACCUGGGGAGUACGACCGCAAGGUUGAAACUCAAAGGAAUUGACGGGGGCCCGCACAAGCAGUGGAGUAUGUGGUUUAAUUCGACGCAACGCGAAGAACCUUACCAAGUCUUGACAUCCCUUGACGAUGCUGGAAACAGUAUUUCUCUUCGGAGCAAGGAGACAGGUGGUGCAUGGUUGUCGUCAGCUCGUGUCGUGAGAUGUUGGGUUAAGUCCCGCAACGAGCGCAACCCUUACUGUCAGUUACUACGCAAGAGGACUCUGGCAGGACUGCCGUUGACAAAACGGAGGAAGGUGGGGAUGACGUCAAAUCAUCAUGCCCUUUAUGACUUGGGCUACACACGCACUACAAUGGCGUUAAACAAAGAGAAGCAAGACCGCGAGGUGGAGCAAAACUCAGAAACAACGUCCCAGUUCGGACUGCAGGCUGCAACUCGCCUGCACGAAGUCGGAAUUGCUAGUAAUCGUGGAUCAGCAUGCCACGGUGAAUACGUUCCCGGGCCUUGUACACACCGCCCGUCA